UUGACAGACUUUGUCAUAUUUAUUCUGGAGGAACAAGAGAAACGGCACAUUUCUACAAGCAUGACAAAAAGCUGAGAAAUGAUUGAAAACAGAGAGAGAGCCGGCCGACGUUCCCUCUGGACUCAGCUUAAAUAAAUUACUUGUUAAAAUAGAUAUAAUUUCACAUUCCGGUAACGACCUUGAGGGACUGCCCGGUGGGAAACUGGACCCUGCCAAACCCCCGGUACUCUGGAAAAGACGGCGUUAAUGUCGAGAAAUUACUCCUCGCUCCUCUGGGAAAUUCACAGUGUAUUUUAUCUCUUUGAUUUUCUUUUUGUCUCAUUCUUUCCUUGGCCGCCGCAGCGCUGUUGUUGUUGAGAAUACCGUUAACUCAGCUCAGCGUUCAAAUUGAUUGUGUGAGUCACAAAUGAAAUUUCCCACCCUGGCGGCGCUCCGAGGCCCAUCGUUCCUCGACGGUCUGAGCCUUAAUGGACCCGGAGGAAGAGGGGAAAAAACCCGACGAGGUCCAAACCUUUGAACUCCUCUGUUUUAUGUCCUCACCUGCUCGGUUUGCAGCUGAUUUACUUAACGGGGAUGUUGAGUCUCACACGCGGCCUCGUAAAGCCGAGAGUUGACCAACCACCACAGUUGUGAGUCAGCGCCCAGAGGUUCUGGUGAAAACAAACAUCAGCACUUCAGCAGCUGCUCGUUCAUGACACCUGAAAUCCAUUUUAUCUACACAUCUGUAUAUUUACUUUGAGGUACUUCUGCUGCUUUAUUCUUCCACUUCACUACAUUUGGAGGCGAGUCUUCCCCGGACCAACAUGGCGGCGACGUUGACGUACCGGCUUCCCUGACGUCACAUCGUUGCAGGUGAAAGUCACAAAGACAGACGAGGCGGUUAAACUCUCCACUGACGGCCAACCUGCGGACUCACCUGCGGACUCACCUGCGGACUCACCUGCGGACUGAGGCGGCGGAGCAGCGCCAGGUGCACGGCCGCGAUCACUGCGUGUUGUCCGGCUGAGGCGUGUUCAGCAGCCCCCUGGUGGAGAGGAGAGUUUUUACGAGCAGACUAACUCUCAGAACCACCAGAACGCCACAUCGGGUUCAUCCGCCGACACCUGAGCCACCGCAGACGCCUCUCUGUUUGCUUUGGCUGAACAAAGAGAUGUGGGGAGGUUUCAGGAGAAACACCUCGAGCUAAACUGGAAACACAUCAGGUCCAAUCAGCGAUUAACGAGGGCAGAUCAUCUGUAAAUCAAGAAGGAAGUGAAGAUGUCGACUGGUUAGA
Long non-coding RNA from Acanthopagrus latus (yellowfin seabream), 1273 nucleotides. RefSeq lists it as uncharacterized. The record is from RefSeq and is a predicted model, not a curated record. NCBI's taxonomy places the organism in Eukaryota, Metazoa, Chordata, Actinopteri, Spariformes, Sparidae. The transcript has 4 exons.